RNAcentral lists this unclassified non-coding RNA (347 nucleotides) under soil metagenome. Its description in RNAcentral is "partial contains 5.8S ribosomal RNA, internal transcribed spacer 2, and large subunit ribosomal RNA". The stretch from base 1 to 119 matches the Rfam family "5.8S ribosomal RNA", at positions 35 to 154 of the family's 154-position model. The record is from RNAcentral.
GAUGAAAACGCAGCGAAAUGCGAUAAGUAAUGUGAAUUGCAGAAUUCAGUGAAUCAUCGAAUCUUUGAACGCACAUUGCGCCCGCCAGUAUUCUGGCGGGCAUGCCUGUCUGAGCGUCAUUUCAACCCUCAUGCCCCUAGGGCGUGGUGUUGGGGAUCGGCCAAAGCCCGCGAGGGACGGCCGGCCCCUAAAUCUAGUGGCGGACCCGUCGUGGCCUCCUCUGCGAAGUAGUGAUAUUCCGCAUCGGAGAGCGACGAGCCCCUGCCGUUAAACCCCCAACUUUCCAAGGUUGACCUCAGAUCAGGUAGGAAUACCCGCUGAACUUAAGCAUAUCAAUAAGCGGAGGA